CCUACGGGAGGCAGCAGUGAGGAAUAUUGGUCAAUGGGCGGAAGCCUGAACCAGCCAAGUAGCGUGCAGGAUGACGGCCCUACGGGUUGUAAACUGCUUUUAUACGGGAAUAACGCGCCUUACGUGUAGGGCUUUGCAUGUACCGUAUGAAUAAGGACCGGCUAAUUCCGUGCCAGCAGCCGCCGUAAUACGGAAGGACCGGGCGUUAUCCGGGUUUAUUGGGUUUAAAGGGAGCGGAGGCCGCACGUUAAACGUGCUGUGAAAUGUCCGGGCUCAAACCCGGGCUUGCAGCGCGAACUGGCGGGCUUGAGUCGGCGGAAAGCAGGCGGAAUUCGUGGUGUAGCGGUGAAAUGCUUAGAUAUGACGAAGAACCCCGAUUGCGAAGGCAGCUUGCUGCAGCGGAACUGACGCUGAUGCUCGAAAGCGCGGGUAUCGAACAGGAUUAGAUACCCCUGUAGUC
This 460-nucleotide ribosomal RNA is filed under the name uncultured bacterium. RNAcentral describes it as "partial 16S ribosomal RNA". It matches the Rfam family "Bacterial small subunit ribosomal RNA", at positions 338 to 795 of the family's 1533-position model. The record is from RNAcentral.